This is a non-coding RNA of Labrus bergylta (ballan wrasse), 179 nucleotides long. The record is from RefSeq and is a predicted model, not a curated record. NCBI's taxonomy places the organism in Eukaryota, Metazoa, Chordata, Actinopteri, Labriformes, Labridae.
UUCGCCGCUCUGGGCUGGAAGUCGGACAAGGCUCCGGUGGCGGCCAUGGUGGGCCGCUCCUGGGACGUGUUCCAGCCGCUCCUCUUCGGUCUGAUCGGCGCAGAGAUCACCAUAGCGAAGCUGAACCCCAGCACCGUGGGUCUUGGUUUGGCCUGCAUCGCUAUCGGUCUGGUGAUCCG